GCGGCGGACGGGUGAGUAAUGCCUAGGAAAUUGCCCUGAUGUGGGGGAUAACCAUUGGAAACGAUGGCUAAUACCGCAUGAUGCCUACGGGCCAAAGAGGGGGACCUUCGGGCCUCUCGCGUCAGGAUAUGCCUAGGUGGGAUUAGCUAGUUGGUGAGGUAAGGGCUCACCAAGGCGACGAUCCCUAGCUGGUCUGAGAGGAUGAUCAGCCACACUGGAACUGAGACACGGUCCAGACUCCUACGGGAGGCAGCAGUGGGGAAUAUUGCACAAUGGGCGCAAGCCUGAUGCAGCCAUGCCGCGUGUGUGAAGAAGGCCUUCGGGUUGUAAAGUACUUUCAGUCGUGAGGAAGGCAGUGUAGUUAAUAGCUGCAUUAUUUGACGUUAGCGACAGAAGAAGCACCGGCUAACUCCGUGCCAGCAGCCGCGGUAAUACGGAGGGUGCGAGCGUUAAUCGGAAUUACUGGGCGUAAAGCGCAUGCAGGUGGUUUGUUAAGUCAGAUGUGAAAGCCCGGGGCUCAACCUCGGAAUAGCAUUUGAAACUGGCAGACUAGAGUACUGUAGAGGGGGGUAGAAUUUCAGGUGUAGCGGUGAAAUGCGUAGAGAUCUGAAGGAAUACCGGUGGCGAAGGCGGCCCCCUGGACAGAUACUGACACUCAGAUGCGAAAGCGUGGGGAGCAAACAGGAUUAGAUACCCUGGUAGUCCACGCCGUAAACGAUGUCUACUUGGAGGUUGUGGCCUUGAGCCGUGGCUUUCGGAGCUAACGCGUUAAGUAGACCGCCUGGGGAGUACGGUCGCAAGAUUAAAACUCAAAUGAAUUGACGGGGGCCCGCACAAGCGGUGGAGCAUGUGGUUUAAUUCGAUGCAACGCGAAGAACCUUACCUACUCUUGACAUCCAGAGAACUUUCCAGAGAUGGAUUGGUGCCUUCGGGAACUCUGAGACAGGUGCUGCAUGGCUGUCGUCAGCUCGUGUUGUGAAAUGUUGGGUUAAGUCCCGCAACGAGCGCAACCCUUAUCCUUGUUUGCCAGCGAGUAAUGUCGGGAACUCCAGGGAGACUGCCGGUGAUAAACCGGAGGAAGGUGGGGACGACGUCAAGUCAUCAUGGCCCUUACGAGUAGGGCUACACACGUGCUACAAUGGCGCAUACAGAGGGCGGCCAACUUGCGAAAGUGAGCGAAUCCCAAAAAGUGCGUCGUAGUCCGGAUUGGAGUCUGCAACUCGACUCCAUGAAGUCGGAAUCGCUAGUAAUCGUGGAUCAGAAUGCCACGGUGAAUACGUUCCCGGGCCUUGUACACACCGCCCGU
Molecule: ribosomal RNA, 1306 nt
Filed under: Vibrio sp.
Lineage: Bacteria; Pseudomonadati; Pseudomonadota; Gammaproteobacteria; Vibrionales; Vibrionaceae
Description: bacterial SSU rRNA
Rfam family: Bacterial small subunit ribosomal RNA
Source: RNAcentral